AGCAUUUGGUGGGAGGCCCUGGACCUAGAAACAAAAAAUGAAAGUGGAGAAAACCAAACAAGAAUCUUUCUUUCUUAAAGUAAACAUCGGACUGACAUCUCCUUUCAAACAUUCAUUGAGGAUCUACUCUGUGAGAAGAAGCAAUACCAUGUUAUCUCAUUCUAGUUCCAGUUCUAGUUGACUUGAUUGUCAAACGACUGCUAAGAAGUAGAGAGGAGGCUUCACCAUGUUUGCCAGGCUAGUCUGGAACUCUUGACCUCAGGUGAUCCACCCACCUCGGCCUCCCAAAGUGCUAGGAUUACAGGC
RNAcentral lists this long non-coding RNA (306 nucleotides) under Homo sapiens (human). Its description in RNAcentral is "HSALNT0342040". Lineage: Eukaryota; Metazoa; Chordata; Mammalia; Primates; Hominidae. The record is from RNAcentral.